GGAGAGGUGUCUGAGUGGCCGAAAGAGCACGCUUGGAAAGCGUGUAUACCGCAAGGUAUCGAGGGUUCGAAUCCCUCCCUCUCCG
This 85-nucleotide transfer RNA is filed under the name Candidatus Daviesbacteria bacterium RIFCSPHIGHO2_02_FULL_37_9. RNAcentral's name for it is "tRNA-Ser". It matches the Rfam family "tRNA". From Rfam's summary of the family: Transfer RNA (tRNA) molecules are approximately 80 nucleotides in length. Their secondary structure includes four short double-helical elements and three loops (D, anti-codon, and T loops). Lineage: Bacteria; Candidatus Daviesiibacteriota. The record is from RNAcentral. RNAcentral also lists the same sequence under 1 other name.